Molecule: ribosomal RNA, 791 nt
Filed under: uncultured bacterium
Lineage: Bacteria
Description: bacterial SSU rRNA
Rfam family: Bacterial small subunit ribosomal RNA
Source: RNAcentral
AGAGUUUGAUCAUGGCUCAGAUUGAACGCUGGCGGCAUGCUUUACACAUGCAAGUCGAGCGGCAGCGCGGGGGCAACCCUGGCGGCGAGCGGCGAACGGGUGAGUAAUGCAUCGGAACGUGUCCCGUAGUGGGGGAUAACGCCGCGAAAGCGGCGCUAAUACCGCAUAUGCUCUACGGAGGAAAGCAGGGGCUCGCAAGACCUUGCGCUAUGGGAGCGGCCGAUGUCCGAUUAGCUAGUUGGUGGGGUAAUGGCCUACCAAGGCGACGAUCGGUAGCUGGUCUGAGAGGAUGAUCAGCCACACUGGGACUGAGACACGGCCCAGACUCCUACGGGAGGCAGCAGUGGGGAAUUUUGGACAAUGGGGGCAACCCUGAUCCAGCCAUGCCGCGUGCGGGAAGAAGGCCUUCGGGUUGUAAACCGCUUUUAGCUGGGAAGAAAAGGGCGGGGUUAAUACCCCUGUCACUUGACGGUACCGGCGGAAUAAGCACCGGCUAACUACGUGCCAGCAGCCGCGGUAAUACGUAGGGUGCGAGCGUUAAUCGGAAUUACUGGGCGUAAAGCGUGCGUAGGUGGUUCGUUGUGUCUGUGGUGAAAGCCCCGGGCUUAACCUGGGAAUGGCCAUGGAAACUGGCGAGCUGGAGUCUGGCAGAGGGGGGUGGAAUUCCGCGUAGCAGUGAAAUGCGUAGAGAUGCGGAGGAACACCGAUGGCGAAGGCAGCCCCCUGGGCUAAGACUGACGCUGAGGCACGAAAGCGUGGGGAGCAAACAGGAUUAGAUACCCCAGUAGUCC